Molecule: ribosomal RNA, 421 nt
Filed under: Coralichlamys madreporarum
Lineage: Eukaryota; Metazoa; Mollusca; Bivalvia; Pectinida; Pectinidae
Description: partial 12S ribosomal RNA
Rfam family: Bacterial small subunit ribosomal RNA
Source: RNAcentral
ACUUUGAUUUGAGGCAGCUGCUAGAGUACUACGAGCGUGUGCUUAAAACUCAAAGAACUUGGCGGCUCGUUAACUACCCAGGGGAACAUGCGCCUUAAUCCGAUGAUCCACGUUGCAUCUUACUGUACCUUGAAAAAGAGCAGCUGGUGUAUUGCCGUUGUCAGCUUGUUGUUAGAGCAAAGAGAAACAGGCUAAAUGGAGUGAGCAAUGAGUGUUGUUUAUAUCCGUGAAUUCAGGUCGAAAUACUGCCAAUGGUACAAGGGAGUGGGUGUUACAAUUCUUAUUUUGAAUAACGGAUCCUGAAUUGAAUGAAAUUAUCAGGUGAAGGUGGACUUGGGAGUAAGAAAGAAUUAAUAUGUCUUUCUGAACUUGAAUCUAACUUGAGUACAAACCGCCCGUCGCUCUCGCCGGAAGGUGAGAU